This 492-nucleotide long non-coding RNA is filed under the name Anser brachyrhynchus (Pink-footed goose). RNAcentral's name for it is "lncRNA (ENSABRG00000011329.1)". Lineage: Eukaryota; Metazoa; Chordata; Aves; Anseriformes; Anatidae. The record is from RNAcentral.
GUUUAAUCAGCUGCCAGGCAGACUUCAAACAGCUGAUGCAUGUUAGGCUGAAAAUUUGCUGCAUCGUCUACAGAAGUUCUUAUGUACAAGAUGUGUUUAGAAACAGCUGAGGAUAAGGAGACUAGGAAGAAAUGAUAAGAAAAAAAGUGGGGGGUAUCCAGUGAAGAUAUUACAAGCUCCUGGAAUGAGAGAGAGAGUUCAUUGCCAUAAUGUGAUGCUGACAUGUGGGAAAGGAGAAAACAUCUGCUAAUGAAAUUGAGUGAACCAGAAGUUUAAAAUUUUAAAGACGUCUUGACAUAACCACUGAUAUAUUACUAGCUCAAUAACAGAAGAACAGGGUUCUGAGAGGGGAGAGGAAGAUUGCACCAUUGUGCUUCUCUAAAUGAAUGCCAUCCCACAAAAAAUGUAACACAGGACAUGAUUUAGAUCCAUUUGAAAAUUUGUGAGGCACGUGUGUCAAGCAUGCUAAGAAUAAAGCAACAAAUCCAUACA